This 498-nucleotide long non-coding RNA is filed under the name Panax ginseng (ginseng). RNAcentral describes it as "long non-coding RNA (PGIN_LNC015654)". The record is from RNAcentral. Lineage: Eukaryota; Viridiplantae; Streptophyta; Magnoliopsida; Apiales; Araliaceae.
UUUCUUCUCCAGGUAGAGUAGUAUUUUGCCCAUAACAAAAUUAUAAAAAAAAGGUAACACGAGAUGUAGAUGUGCCCAACUACUGCCUACUGGAGCUAAAUUGCGAAGAAGCUCUCUUUAUUACCUCCCAAAAGAUAAAUUUUAGAGAGUGAAAGAGAGCCUUUUGGGUACUUCAACGAGUCUGAUUCUAAAUCCAUAGUCGUCUGGGUCUGGGUGAUGAAGGAAUUGAAGAUGAUGAUGGUAAUGAUGAUAUGUUGAUGGUGCCGUUGUGGUGGUCUGGCUGUGGAAAUCGAAAAGAAGGGAGAGGAGCAAAAGGGUUAUGAUCGAUUUGGGAAUCUGGAAAGUGAAGGGAAAGAGGGAUAUAAUAGGAAUUUUGUAAUAUUAAAGAGGUUAUUUUUGUUCAAAAAUAGUCAAUUUCGUUCAGAUCCACGUUCAGAUCCACCUCUGAAUAGUAUAGAUUUAUAUUUGUCUUUUACUGAUUAAGAGGCAUUAAGAGAC